GGAUUCCCCUAGUAACGGCGAGUGAAGCGGGAUGAGCUCAAGCUUAAAAUCUCUGUCACAAAUUUAUUUUGUGCGGCGAAUUGUAGUCUAUAGAAGCGUGGUCAGUGUAGGCGCUUGGGUUAAGUUCCUUGAAAAAGGACAGCAUCGAGGGUGAUACUCCCGUUUGUACCUAAGUGUCUUAUGCGUACGACCCGUUUUCUUUGAGUCGCGUUGUUUGAGAAUGCAGCGCAAAGUAGGUGGUAAAUUCCAUCUAAAGCUAAAUAUUGGUGCGAGACCGAUAGCGAACAAGUACCGUGAGGGAAAGAUGAAAAGAACUUUGAAAAGAGAGUUAAAGAGUACCUGAAACUGCUGAAAGGGAACCGGAUCGUUUCUAGUGUCUAUAAUCCGUGACAUAUUUCAUUGGCGGGCGUGUGCGUAUGUGUACUAUGGCAGCGGCUAAUUGGCUGCGCUUGGUGUGCGUGCUGUGUGUGCUUACUGGUGCCCUGUGUUAUGGUGGGACGUCAAGGUCAGUUCGUAUGCUGCGGGAAAUGGCUGCUGAGGAGGUAGGGCUUACGCUUGCGUUUGUCUGUUAUAUCUUGGUGGUUUUGUCGUGGUUGGGACUGAGGUGUUCUACAACGUGCUCUUGAGUAGGUCUGCGUCUCCGUGUGCACCGUGUGCAGAUAGCUUGCUAUGUGUGUGUGGUUGUGUGUGGAUUGAUGCGGGCUUGAACUUGUUGCCGUUCGGGACUUUGACGAAAUAGAGCGAUUUGACCCGUCUUGAAACACGGACCAAGGAGUCUAACAUAUGUGCAAGUGUUAGGGUGUGGAAACCCCAGCGCGAAAUUAACGUAAAGGAUAGCGUAAGCUGUCUUAGGUAGGAAACGUUGCGGAUUUCGGUCUGUGGCGUGGCACUAUCGACCGAUCAUGAACCUUCGUGGUGAAAGAUUUGAGUUUGAGCACAUAUGUUGGUACCCGAAAGAUGGUGAACUAUGCCUGAGUAGGGUGAAGCCAG
Molecule: ribosomal RNA, 990 nt
Filed under: Hyaloperonospora parasitica
Lineage: Eukaryota; Oomycota; Peronosporomycetes; Peronosporales; Peronosporaceae
Description: LSU rRNA
Rfam family: Eukaryotic large subunit ribosomal RNA
Source: RNAcentral